GGUAGCGUGGCCGAGUGGUCUAAGGCGCUGGUUUUAGGCACCAGUCCGAAAGGACGUGGGUUCGAAUCCCACCGCUGCCA
This is a non-coding RNA of Zootermopsis nevadensis, 80 nucleotides long. The record is from Rfam. Lineage: Eukaryota; Metazoa; Arthropoda; Insecta; Blattodea; Termopsidae.